RNAcentral lists this ribosomal RNA (254 nucleotides) under uncultured bacterium. RNAcentral's name for it is "partial 16S ribosomal RNA". It matches the Rfam family "Bacterial small subunit ribosomal RNA", at positions 524 to 776 of the family's 1533-position model. The record is from RNAcentral.
UACGUAGGGGGCCAGCGUUGCUCGGAAUUACUGGGCGUAAAGGGUCCGUAGGCGGUGUGGCAAGUCGGGGAGUGAAAUCUCUGGGCUUAACCCAGAGGCUGCUUCCGAAACUGCCAUGCUAGAGUGUGAGAGAGGCGAGUGGAAUUACGGGUGUAGCGGUGAAAUGCGUAGAUAUCCGUAGGAACAUCCGAGGCGAAGGCGGCUCGCUGGAUCACAACUGACGCUGAGGGACGAAAGCUAGGGGAGCAAACAGG